GACCCAGAUGACUCCACAGAAGAAAGUCUCUCUUCAUAUUAUUGGUCUCUCUUGGCAAAGAAGAAUGGACUGUCUUGAAAGGUGACUGGUUCCUCUUCCUUGGAGGUCUCCAAGCAAAGGUUGGAUAACCACUUGUUAGCUUACAAACUGCGUUUCCACCCAAGAGAAACUGCCAUCUUGAAGGCCCACUGUCCAGACUGGGCACCAUCUACCUGGACCACUGUUUCAGGAGGGGGCCUAACCAGGCUUCCCUUCACUCCUGACUUUGUUCUCCAGAAUUCUAUAUUUGAA
This is a non-coding RNA of Phascolarctos cinereus (koala), 291 nucleotides long. The record is from RefSeq and is a predicted model, not a curated record. Lineage: Eukaryota; Metazoa; Chordata; Mammalia; Diprotodontia; Phascolarctidae.